AGAUUUAGACAGAGCGAAGAUUAUGCGAAGAAAGAAGGAAAAGGCGGCUGUCUCCAAGACAAAGAGAGAGGCCUCACGGGACGCCAACCCUGCUGACACCUUGAGCUUGGACUUCCAGCCUCCAGAACUGUGAGACAGUAAAUUUCUGUUGUUUAAGCCCCCUAGUCUGUGGUACUUUGUCAUGGCAGACCUAGCAUGCUAAUAUACCCCUCAAACUAGCCACAGCCCAAAGGGGAAUUUGUUUGAUGGAUCAUACACUGCAGGAACAACUGAGGUGCAGCUGGGCCACGUGAAACAACUGGAAUCAGGGAUUUGAAAGCCACUAGGAGCUCACCUCUAUCUUCCAUCUCUGCUUCUCUGACUUUGUCCUCCCAGAACCAGCUUCCUGUACAUGGCAGGGAAUGGCUCCCCCAUUUGCAACUUAAAGCUUCAUCACCUAGGAGGGACUGGCCUUUUGUCCCACUGCUAGUUUACAAAAUCCUAAAGAAGGAUUUUGAUUGGCUGGCCUACGUCAUUGCCCAGCCCAAGACCAAUAAUAGACACAGCAGCUAAUUUGUUCAGCAACUACUCUGUGCAAAGCACUCCAUUCAUUCUACUAAAUAAUUUGCUAAACAUGUGGGGUUAUUAUCAUUAUGAUUACACCUUUACAGAUGAGGAAGCUGAGUCAUGAAGUAGUCAGGGAACUUGUCCCAGGGCACACAGGGUGUGAGCAAUGUCCCUGAGUCCAAUGUGGGGUGGCCAAUGAGUGCAGCUAGCAGGUCCUGUUUUUUGUUUUUUGUUUUGUUUGUUUGUUGUUGUUUUUUGUUUAUUUAUUUAUUUAUUUAUUUUGAGACAGGGUCUCCUUCUGUCUCAUCCAGGCUGGAGAGCAGUGGUGCAAUCAUGGUUCAACCUCCCAGGCUCAAGUGAUCCUCCCACCUCAGUGUCCUGAGUAGCUGGGACUAUAGGCGCAUGCCACCACACCUGCUAAUUUUUUGUAUUUUUAGUAGAGAUGGAGUUCACCACAUUGCCCAGACUGGUCUUGAACUUCUGGGCUCAAGGGAUCCUCCCACCUUGGCCUGCCCAGCCUAGCAAGUCCUUUCUAAACCAAUGAGUCAGUGCCAGUCUCCCAUAGUCCCUGUAAAUCUUGCCACACCCUUCAAGUAUCAUCCACUAUGCAGCCACCUUGCUGGACAAAGGGUGCCCUCUGAGAUCCUGAGAAAAGGCCACAAUGACUUCUGGCUGGCAACUCCAUCAUGCCUUUUAUUCAAAGGCUGCAGUGGCUAAUACAAAGAGAGGCCAGCAGGGUAGUAAACAAUCCCUAAAUUGAGAGCCUGGGAACUCAGAGAGCCUGACCAGCAUCUUGCCCUAAGCAGUCCUGCCCUGUGCUCCAACCUAAUGGGAUCUCUGAAUUCUCCUUGGGCUUUCCAGGCAGCAGAGGAACUUGGCAGGCAGUCUGUAGGGACCAAGAGUAAUUUGAUGAGAGGACUGUCUGUAUCUCUCACAGACUGGCAGCCUAGGCACCUGGAACAGCGGGAAGCAGGAAUCCACUUCUGGUCCUGUGUACAUCACUCUCAUUGCACACUGGCUUCUUCUAAAUGGAGGUGAACAUGGCUCUCAGCAGCCCCCCUGCCUCACAUUUCACAGCUUCACCAACAAGGAGGAACUAUGUCUUGUACUCUAAUUCCAGUUCAAAAGAUCCCAGGGAACACUCUGAUUGGCCCAACUGAAGCCAAUCAACAGUGGCCAAGAGGAAGUGAUCCUGUGAUUAACUUCCAUAACACAUAGUUGGAGAUCUAAAUAGACAAAAUAUUAAUUGUCUAUUGCAGCUUAGCAUAAUUUUAAUGCAAGAAAUUUUUUUUUCUUCUCCAAAAGAUGCUGAAGUUCUCCUUCUGGCUUUAGGUCAUUUUAGUUUUGUUUAACAAGCAACUAUUGUGAAUCUGCUCUGGGGUGAGAGGUGGAGGAACCAAGAAGAGUAGGACAAAGUCCUUCCUUUCAAAAACCCACAUCACAGUCAAAUAGGGGAGACAGCUACAUAAGUAGCUCAUUGCAAAGUCCUGUGAUAAGUGCUAUGAAAGCAUAGCUGGAGAGGAACCACCUAACCAAGUCUGGGUCACAGACAAGAUUUCCUGUAAGAACUGAUUUUGGACAGUCUUGAAAGUUGAGUUAGAAGGGGAAGGGCCUUCCAAACAGAAGUGUAAAAUCCAAAUGAUUACAGGGGCAUGGUUCUCACAAUUAAUCAAUUGACUGUAAACCCCUCCAUGGGAGAGGUCAGGUCUUUAUGAUAAAGAUACAAAUACUUUACUUUUUUUUUUUUUAGCAUUUUAUCAUUUUCAGAACACUUAUCUAACAGAAACAGUACCACAAAUAGGGAAAUAAGAACAAAACAAACUUCUGAGAAAAAGAUGAGUAGAUUUUCUUCAACAGUGCUCAGCCCACACACGCCCCACUGCAGUCCCAGGAAUAGGACUGGCCUGCAGUUUGAGGCAAGCCUGUCUUCUGUACAAAUACCAAAUACCAGAACCUGCUAAUCCCUAAUGGAGUGAAGACAGCUACGUGGGUGUGAUAAUGCCAGGAAAACCUGGGCAACUCCUGCAACUCUGAGGUCAGCUAGGCCUCUCUGGCCCUACCAGAUCCAGCUAAGAGGACUGCAGACCCAUAAGGCCACAGUGAAGUUCAAGUUCCAUACCCUCCAAAGAUUUCUGCAAAUUCCCAGCCCUUAGCCUCCUCCUAGUCCCCUCUGCCCUGGGAAUCCAGAGUGGUGUCCCCUUUACCCACUCAGCUGCCCAGAUGUAAACUAUCAACCCUUUCACUGAUUUGCACAGAAAAAUCCACUCUACCCAGGCACAGCUCUUCCCUGACAUAGCAUUCUCAAUUUACCUCCCACAGAAAGGGCAGAAGGCAAAGGGGUGUUUUGCAAAAAAGGCCUCUGCCAUUUAUUUCAGUUGGGAACAUUUAAUCCAUUCCAGUACUCCAAAAGACAGUCCAAUUUUUCACAUAAAUAAAAUCCUUAUAAGAAAAAUCUCUAGUUAUAUAUGAGGUGAAAAGUACAGAUUUCUUAUUUUAAACACCAGUCAGUUAUUUCAGUAACCGAAGCAGCACCAAAAACAUUCUGAAUCAAAGUUUCUCAUGCACUGUGAGUUUCUCCAGCAAAGUCCAGCAUUCAGGCACCUUCUCUUUAAAGGCAAAACACAGCAAAGGAACAAAAACAAAAAAACAACCACCACCAAAGAUGCUAUUAUGGGGCCUCUCCUGAGUGUAGAAGUGAAAGACGAAGUUCCGUGAAUCACAAUGGCCAACUUUUGUAACUUGCCUGUCAGGGUUUGCUGAGAAAAACCAAGAGGGCAAGAUAUAGGAAUGGGAAGAACAGCUUCCCCACAAUGGCUGGCACUUACCUGGGCCAGGCAUGGUGCUCAGCCUUGUUUUAAAAUUUAAUUCUAUUUCUAUCAAACUUAAUACAUACACGUUUUAAAAAGUCAAAUACUACUAUAAGGCUAGUAAAAAAAUGUAGUGUUCCCCUCCCCAUACCUUCCCCACCCCAAGUCCCAAUUCAGCAAAUACUUUUCAUAUUUACCUCCACUUUUCUGAGUAAAAGACAUACUAUUGAAUCCUGACUUUUCCAUUUUAGACAUAAUCUCCUGCCUUCCUGCUAUGGUUGCUGAGGGUUUUAGAAAGGAUACCUUUACCUCAUCUACUUUCCCUUCUACAUCCUCCCCAUGUAAUCAUGUCACAGGUUUUGUUAAAUCAUUAUUCAAUGAACAUGUUAUUCUCAUUAAGUAAACAUUGUUCAAGCUGCUCCAG
This 3777-nucleotide long non-coding RNA is filed under the name Homo sapiens (human). Its description in RNAcentral is "HSALNT0053693". Lineage: Eukaryota; Metazoa; Chordata; Mammalia; Primates; Hominidae. The record is from RNAcentral.